This 670-nucleotide long non-coding RNA is filed under the name Medicago truncatula (barrel medic). RNAcentral's name for it is "lncRNA gene17326". The record is from RNAcentral. Lineage: Eukaryota; Viridiplantae; Streptophyta; Magnoliopsida; Fabales; Fabaceae.
CUUAUGGAUAUCCGUUAAACUACCUAUCCUGUUCGUGUGACGGAUUUUAUCCGCUAUUAUCGAUCAACGGGCACUGAUUUUUUGCCAUCCCUAGUAUACUUUUAAUUCAAGGAAUAUAAAAGUCAGCUACGGUUGAGUUGAGGUUAAAAUUCUAGGCAGCAGAGAUCGAAACACCAUUUAUAGAAAUUGUUUCCAAGUCACAGAAGAAAAGGAACUCACAUACUUUACAGAAAACUUCACUCAGAACCCGCUCUCGUCCACCAUUUAAAUGAAUAUAAGUGUUUCAUGACACAGUGUGGUUCUGGAGAAAUUUGUUGUUUCAUGAAACGGUGUGGUUCACUUUGUUGCCUCCAUCUUUGGGGGAAGAUUUUGCUAGGGACAAGAAUGGGAUGCCGAACUUUAUUUCCUUAAUUACUUAUGUUCCUAAUUUUCUGUAUAUAUUUCUUUUUCUUUUGAGGAUAUUGGCUUAGUCCCCGCUCUUUGUAAAUUUUUUUCUUUUUUUAAUAAAAUUUACGUAUUGAAAAGGCGGUAAAUAAUGGGGAAUUUGUUGGGUGCCAACCUAAUUAGGAUGCUUCAAAUUCUCCCAAAUACCCAACCUUUCUCUUGGCCUUAUCGAAAAAAAAGAUUAAAAUUCUAGAAUUUUCCGCCAAGCAUUCCAGUGAAAAAUUUU